AUCCUUUCUUGCUGUUUGGCGAAAAUCAAGCACAGUUAUCUGUUCUUUCCACUUUAAUAUUUGAUGUGUCCUAUAUUUGGAGACCACAGAUAAGAUGGAUUUUUGGGAGGCGGGACACGCAAUAGGAGCUUGUCCAUGUAUUGACCUGUUAUCUAGGAACGGUGCAUCUCCU
Molecule: small nuclear RNA, 172 nt
Filed under: Salvator merianae (Argentine black and white tegu)
Lineage: Eukaryota; Metazoa; Chordata; Lepidosauria; Squamata; Teiidae
Description: U2 spliceosomal RNA (ENSSMRG00000015503.1)
Rfam family: U2 spliceosomal RNA
About the family: U2 is a small nuclear RNA (snRNA) component of the spliceosome (involved in pre-mRNA splicing). Complementary binding between U2 snRNA (in an area lying towards the 5' end but 3' to hairpin I) and the branchpoint sequence (BPS) of the intron results the bulging out of an unpaired adenosine, on the BPS, which initiates a nucleophilic attack at the intronic 5' splice site, thus starting the first of two transesterification reactions that mediate splicing.
Source: Rfam by way of RNAcentral